UGCAUCGUUUAUUCUCCACUGUAACGGCACCCUAGGGGAACUGAUUCAUCCUAGGGAGGAGUCUGACGCGGUGUUUUGAGAGACAGAGAGCACAUUCUUCAGUGACUUGGAUUUGAAAAAGGAACGCCACACAGAGCGGCUCCUUUACUGUAAACGAAUGCAGGGUCCUGAUGAGUGAUGAGUGCAUGGGAAGGAGAUAACACUUUGGAUGAAGUCUUGAAGGUGCACCCACUAGUGGCUGGUUUCUGUUGGAAGAACUGGCAUGACGUAAUCCAGCUGUGCUGCAGACCGUGACAGAGAAGACAGCCUUCCUCUGAGACCACUCCAUCAUACGCAUGAAGUCAUUUUACAAAUGCUUUUAAGAUCUUUCCUGCGUAGCGUCCACACUUAUGAACAAUCACCUUCAG
Molecule: long non-coding RNA, 407 nt
Organism: Ictalurus punctatus (channel catfish)
Lineage: Eukaryota; Metazoa; Chordata; Actinopteri; Siluriformes; Ictaluridae
Source: Ensembl